UGUUGUAAAAGUGUCUUAAUGUGAUCGCAAAAGCAAAUAUUACUACAAGAAACCCAAAAUAUACAGAGUGGACCGAGUAUGAAGGCUAUUUUUAUAACUAGACCCAUUGAAAUUUUAAUUGGUUACCCCUGAUAUAUAUGAAUAUAGUUUACUCUGAAAGGCUGAACAAAAUCAUGGUAGGGCCCCUUUAAAGAAGUAUGUUUGUGUCUGCAGGUUCUUCAGGUGAAUCCAUGCUCGGAGAUCCUGGUCCUAAAGGAAACGAUGGAAAACCGGGACCUCCAGGGAUCCCUGGACCUUCUGGUCAACCAGGUGAAAUUGGGCCACCGGGUGUGUGUGACAACAGUGGAGGCUGCCAAAAAAUUCCCCCGCAGACAGAAGACUCUUAUUAUGGCUACCAGCCAUGACAGCCAGGACUACCCAGCCCAAGCUUAAAAAGACCCUCCAUCUAGAAAUCUGUCAUGACCGCGGUGGGCAUUUGGAACCACAUGUGGAGCCAAGAAAUGAAUCAUUACUUCAGUUUCUGUAAAAAAAAAAAAAAAAACUCCUGAAAUGGGUUUGAUUCAUGUUUAUAAGAUGAAAAGAAAAAAAAUCCUAAGAGAAACCAGUCAAGAACACUGUCGCACUGAAGCCUUUUGUUUCUUGUUUCUGUUUCGUCUUUGUUGUGCACUGCUGUUUGUGUUCUACUUUUGUGUGUUUUGGUCUAACCUAAACUGCCUCAAACACGUUUGUUAUUCUAUGUCAUGAAACUGUGAGGUUAUCCAAUGUAAGAUAUUUUGUAUAUUUUAUUUGCUUUAUCUUUAAUUGUGUAUAUUUUACAGUAUAAAAUUAUAACUGAUAAUUUAUCUUAGUUUAUGUUAUUUUCAGAUUUUUGUAGCUUUAAGUUGAUUAUCAUCGCAUACAAAAGUUUAGAAGGUAAUGUUGAAAUGUUUUUGGGGGGCACGGUGACAGUUUUGUUAUUGUUUCCUUUAAUAAAAUAAAUCCCACCAUUUUUGUCUUAUCAAUUUUGUGUUGUUAUUAGAAUAACUUUUAAUAAAACUACGAACUGUUUGAUGUUUUAAAAUUAUUUAUGUUCAGAAAAAAAACAA
This 1085-nucleotide long non-coding RNA is filed under the name Oryzias javanicus (javanese ricefish). Its description in RNAcentral is "lncRNA (ENSOJAG00000023313.1)". The record is from RNAcentral. Lineage: Eukaryota; Metazoa; Chordata; Actinopteri; Beloniformes; Adrianichthyidae.